Molecule: ribosomal RNA, 250 nt
Filed under: uncultured bacterium
Lineage: Bacteria
Description: partial 16S ribosomal RNA
Rfam family: Bacterial small subunit ribosomal RNA
Source: RNAcentral
UACGUAGGGUGCAAGCGUUAUCCGGAAUUAUUGGGCGUAAAGAGCUCGUAGGCGGUUUGUCACGUCUGCUGUGAAAACUGGAGGCUCAACCUCCAGCCUGCAGUGGGUACGGGCAGACUAGAGUGCGGUAGGGGUGACUGGAAUUCCUGGUGUAGCGGUGGAAUGCGCAGAUAUCAGGAGGAACACCGAUGCGAAGGCAGGUCACUGGGCCGCAACUGACGCUGGAGGAAGCGAAAGCAUGGGGAGCGAA